AAUUACAUAGCAGUGUUGGGUGAUCCCAUGCAAGGGGAUUUAAAAGAGAAUCGGGUGCAAGUCCCGAACGGUCCGGCCACUGUAAAUGGCGAGCAUUUUCUAAAAUACCACUGGAGUGAUCUGGGAAGGUAGAAAAAUGCAUUGACCCAUAAGUCAGGAAACCUGCCUAACACUUAACUGAUAA
Molecule: non-coding RNA, 184 nt
Filed under: Desulforamulus ruminis
Lineage: Bacteria; Bacillati; Bacillota; Clostridia; Eubacteriales; Peptococcaceae
Also listed under: 1 other name
Source: RNAcentral